GACGAACGCUGGCGGCGUGCUUAACACAUGCAAGUCGAACGGAAAGGCCCUGCUUUUGUGGGGUGCUCGAGUGGCGAACGGGUGAGUAACACGUGAGUAACCUGCCCUUGACUUUGGGAUAACUUCAGGAAACUGGGGCUAAUACCGGAUAGGAGCUCCUGCUGCAUGGUGGGGGUUGGAAAGUUUCGGCGGUUGGGGAUGGACUCGCGGCUUAUCAGCUUGUUGGUGGGGUAGUGGCUUACCAAGGCUUUGACGGGUAGCCGGCCUGAGAGGGUGACCGGCCACAUUGGGACUGAGAUACGGCCCAGACUCCUACGGGAGGCAGCAGUGGGGAAUAUUGCACAGUGGGCGGAAGCCUGAUGCAGCAACGCCGCGUGCGGGAUGACGGCCUUCGGGUUGUAAACCGCUUUCGCAUGUGACGAAGCGUGAGUGACGGUAAUGGGUAAAGAAGCACCGGCUAACUACGUG
RNAcentral lists this ribosomal RNA (468 nucleotides) under uncultured bacterium. RNAcentral's name for it is "partial 16S ribosomal RNA". It matches the Rfam family "Bacterial small subunit ribosomal RNA", at positions 28 to 507 of the family's 1533-position model. The record is from RNAcentral.